UGCUGUCAAACGGGAAGCAUAAUCGUUCUGCGCAUUUCUUUGGCUUUCCUCUUUCCUCUCUCGCAUACCUCGGGUUCCAUCGUCUGCCGUUCUGUUUUCUGUCUUCAUCUUUCUUCGUUGGUACUGGAUAAUGGCUACUUCAUUCGUACAACUCAGGAGAACUUACCUCCUCUCUUCACUUUGUAAUUCAAUCGUUAGUUUUAAUACUAAUUUCCUGCCUUAGUCUGAGAGUUGUAUGAGUUAUCAGCUCUUUGCAAUAAAGGAAUUGUUAUAUUUGGGUGCUCUUUCGUUUUUGGUUCAAUUUUUUGUGUGAAAAUUAAAAAAAGGAGAAAUGAUGAUGGUUAAUUUUUCUCCCAUACUUGAUUUUCUUGGUUUGUUUCUACUAAUCUUUUGUUUCUUGGGCUGAUUGCACUUCUUUUUCGUUAUUUUUGGUGCAGAUAUGAAGAGGAUUUGUGAAGUUGCUGUGAUUUCAUGGUACUCAUGAUCAGUUUUUGGAUUUGAUUUGAAGGAAUUUCUAGGGUUCAUUGAAACGGUGGUCUUCAUUUUUUGGGGCUAUUGUGUGUAGGCUUCCAAGCUGUUUGUGCUUGAGGAUGUUGGAAGAGUCCUCUUCCGAGCACAUGUCGAGAGUCAACUCAAGGUUAACAGAUUUGUAUAUUUAUUAUUUGUGUAUUGAAUAAGAAUUAGAUAAUGGUUCAUGAACACAAAAUGAUUUUGGCAUAUAUACAGAAUGAGAUAAUGUUUAAGCCUGACCUGUUUGUGGCGCCUCAUCCAGAAUUGCCACUUUUGCUUUUGGAUCAAAUGACGUAUGUUGUAUAGCAUCUUGGUAUUUACAUAAAUAUCAUUUGUAACAAAAAACAGAAUGAAUUGAAGCAAAACCUUGGUGUUAGAAGUUUGAUUUUA
Malus domestica (apple) is the source of this 900-nucleotide non-coding RNA. The record is from RefSeq and is a predicted model, not a curated record. NCBI's taxonomy places the organism in Eukaryota, Viridiplantae, Streptophyta, Magnoliopsida, Rosales, Rosaceae.